Cygnus atratus (black swan) is the source of this 518-nucleotide long non-coding RNA. RefSeq lists it as uncharacterized. The record is from RefSeq and is a predicted model, not a curated record. The transcript has 3 exons. NCBI's taxonomy places the organism in Eukaryota, Metazoa, Chordata, Aves, Anseriformes, Anatidae.
AGAUGCUGAGAGAGUCUUGGAGAUGCCUGCAAAGGAGAGCUAUCACAAAGUAUAAUAUCAGAGAGAAACACUUUCUGGUUCUCCAGAAAAGCUGAUACGAGACGAUUAAGGUCAAUUAGCCACCAGAGGGAGCCUACAUAGCCCCUUGAAGCUGUUUGUAUCAAAGAUUUCAACAACUUUGAAGAAGGGUGGCAUUAGAAGUUAAGAAACUCACUCUCCAAGGGUAUCUUCAUUGCAAAGAAUUAUUUCAACAAAAAAAAAUAAUCUUUUACUAAUUUUCACCUCAAGAUUCCAAAAUAAUUCCACAUGAUCACCUGUUCUUUUACUUUUUUACACUUUGGGGACACACUAUGAUUAAAUGAUUCAUCUAAAUUCAAACGGCGAGUAUAAUGCAGGGGAAACAGCAAAGUCCGACCUCACUGAUCUUGUGGUCUAGAUACUGGAAUCUUCCAUCUUAACAUCAGUGUCCAGAAACAAUUAUGAGUGCGGGCAGAAAUAAUGAAGUGUUUAUGCAUUCA